Molecule: long non-coding RNA, 295 nt
Organism: Papilio polytes (common Mormon)
Lineage: Eukaryota; Metazoa; Arthropoda; Insecta; Lepidoptera; Papilionidae
Exons: 3
Source: RefSeq, a predicted model, not a curated record
GGGGAUGUGGUCCUCGAGUUCUUGCUGCAGGGUCUGCGACCGGCCACCGCGUACGCGCUGCGCCUCGCUGCCGUCAACGACAUCGGCGACAGCGACUACUCCGACCCCGUCAUCGUGCACACCCUGGAAGAAGAGCCCUCCGAGCCACCUCGCAAUAUUGAAAUACAAGCGGACGCGCCCGGCGAGCUGCUUGUCAAAUGGCAGGCGCCUUCGCAAGAGUCGUGGAACGGCGAGCUGCUGGGCUAUGCAGUGUGGUGGCGCGGCGACAACGCGUCUCACGCGCUCACCGUGCCCG